AACAGCAAUGGUUUGAAAAGGGCCUCCAAAGUUACAUAUGAUUGCAAGUGGCUCGCCAAAGUUACGUAGGUUCCUACCUACAAUGAGUGCUACAAACAAGAAGUCUUUUCCUAAAUAUGGUGGGGUCAAGAAGAGUGGAGGUUCUCCGAAAGUGAAAAAAAAGGGCAGAGUGGAAUCCAGACCGUGAGAAGUCUCUUGUCGAUAUUCUCCAUGAGUAUAAAGAUAGUGGCUAUAGAGGUGACAACGAUUGAAACUCUGAAGGAUGGAAUAGGAUGGUGAAGGAAUUCCAUCUGAGGAACAAGUAUAUGUCCUACAGAAAAGGCUCAGAUUCAAGAGAAAGAAGGUCAACUGAAAAGAAACUACAAGAUGCUAAAAGAGGCAAGGAGACAGAGCGGGUCUAGAUGGAAUGAAAAAAGAAAUAUGGUUGAAGGAACACCAUCUACGUGGAAUAACCUCAUGGUGAUCAUUUGGCGGAAUGGACUUACAAUUGCACUUCUUUGGAGACAUCACAAGAUGAACAACCACUUAAACAAAUUGUUGAUGUAGAAGGAAAAGAAGAAUAGUUACUAGAUGAAGAUGAUGAUGAUGAUGCUCAAAGGGAUGAUGAUGCUCAAAGAAGGACCACGGAAUGCUUGGAUCAAAGGAAUGAUGGAGAAGAUCUGGAUGACAUUCGCGAGGUAACACCUGCUCAAAAAAGGGGACUAUGAAGAACUGCUACUACAUCAAGAAACACACAAGAAAAGCAAGAGAAGAUGUCUAAGAGGGGUGUAAGGAUAGAAGAAAUGAUGGAGAGAUUUCUGGAAAAGAGAGAAGAAGAAACUGCACUCAUAAUAAAGCAAGCAGAAAAAGAAGCUGCACGUCGAGCCAAGCAAGCAGAAGAAGAAGAAGCUGCAUGUCGUGCCAAGGAAGUAAAAGAAGAAGUUGCAUGUCUGGACAAAGAAAAUGAGGCUGCUAAAAGUAAUGAUUUCUCUAUCAAAAGGUGCAUCUCAGUUCUGAACACACUGGAAGUGACCAAGGAAGAAAAGGCAAAAGCAUAUGCAGUCUUCAUCUAGAGCAAAGAAAAUAGAUAGGCUUUCAUUUGUGGUUGUGAAGCAGUUGUGGAAUCAACUUUGAUUAGGUUAAAAAAUGAGAUGGUCUAGCAGGUAGAACAUUUCUGCUCCCGUGGAACCACUUCCUUCAUGUCUGUUCCUUUAAGUAAUCAUUGAACUCAUUGUAAGUUUAGAGACUAUGGAUAAGUUCUCUAGUAUGGCUAGCUGAUUGUUGUUA
Molecule: long non-coding RNA, 1266 nt
Organism: Panicum virgatum (switchgrass)
Lineage: Eukaryota; Viridiplantae; Streptophyta; Magnoliopsida; Poales; Poaceae
Exons: 3
Source: RefSeq, a predicted model, not a curated record